This 124-nucleotide small nucleolar RNA is filed under the name Cervus elaphus hippelaphus. RNAcentral describes it as "Small nucleolar RNA SNORA26". It matches the Rfam family "Small nucleolar RNA SNORA26", at positions 23 to 122 of the family's 122-position model. Rfam says of the family: The snoRNA HBI-6 belong to the H/ACA family of snoRNAs, guiding the pseudouridylation of position U4522 if the 28S rRNA. HBI-6 is the human orthologue of mouse MBI-6 snoRNA. The record is from Rfam by way of RNAcentral. Lineage: Eukaryota; Metazoa; Chordata; Mammalia; Artiodactyla; Cervidae. RNAcentral also lists the same sequence under 1 other name.
GUUCUGACUUGAACCCGAUUUUAAAAAAAGGAGGGGCUAACACAGGAGGGUAAAGGAAGUCUCCAUAAAACCCAGAGAAGAGAUUUUUAGAACUCCUCUCUGGAUCCUGUCUGGAGUCACCACU